This 497-nucleotide ribosomal RNA is filed under the name uncultured bacterium. RNAcentral's name for it is "partial 16S ribosomal RNA". It matches the Rfam family "Bacterial small subunit ribosomal RNA", at positions 28 to 507 of the family's 1533-position model. The record is from RNAcentral.
GAUGAACGCUGGCGGCGUGCCUAAUACAUGCAAGUCGAGCGAACGGACGAGAAGCUUGCUUCUCUGAUGUUAGCGGCGGACGGGUGAGUAACACGUGGAUAACCUACCUAUAAGACUGGGAUAACUUCGGGAAACCGGAGGUAAUACCGGAUAAUAUUUUGAACCGCAUGGUUCAAAAGUGAAAGGCGGUCUUGCUGUCACUUAUAGAUGGAUCCGCGCUGCAUUAGCUAGUUGGUAAGGUAACGGCUUACCAAGGCAACGAUGCAUAGCCGACCUGAGAGGGUGAUCGGCCACACUGGAACUGAGACACGGUCCAGACUCCUACGGGAGGCAGCAGUAGGGAAUCUUCCGCAAUGGGCGAAAGCCUGACGGAGCAACGCCGCGUGAGUGAUGAAGGUCUUCGGAUCGUAAAACUCUGUUAUUAGGGAAGAACAUAUGUGUAAGUAACUGUGCACAUCUUGACGGUACCUAAUCAGAAAGCCACGGCUAACUACGUG